Molecule: ribosomal RNA, 275 nt
Filed under: uncultured bacterium
Lineage: Bacteria
Description: partial 16S ribosomal RNA
Rfam family: Bacterial small subunit ribosomal RNA
Source: RNAcentral
AUACAGAGGUGGCAAGCGUUGCUCGGAAUUACUGGGCAUAAAGGGCGUCUAGGCGGGGCAGUAAGUUGGUUGUGAAAUCCCUCGGCUCACCCGAGGAAGUGCACUCAAUACUGCUGUCCUUGAGGACGAGAGGGGAGAGUGGAACUCCUGGUGGAGCGGUGAAAUGCGUAGAUAUCAGGAGGAACGCCGGUGGCGAAAGCGACUCUCUGGCUCGUUCCUGACGCUGAAGCGCGAAAGCUAGGGGAGCGAACGGGAUUAGAAACCCCCAGUAGUCC